Long non-coding RNA from Coturnix japonica (Japanese quail), 1804 nucleotides. RefSeq lists it as uncharacterized. NCBI's taxonomy places the organism in Eukaryota, Metazoa, Chordata, Aves, Galliformes, Phasianidae. The record is from RefSeq and is a predicted model, not a curated record.
UGCCUGAGUAUAAGCCCAUGACCACGUCCCAGUUGUUAGAUCUGUUAAACCUGUACAGUCUCUGUUCCUGUUAACCCUAAUAUCUGUAAUUCUGCAUCCAUCAGAAGCAGUGCCAUUGCUCCUGGUAAUCCUAUUUGAUUGCUCUUGUAUUUGAUUGCUGCAGAUUAGAAGAUAAUGCUGAGUACAGGCAGUAGAAAAGUGAAAUGCUGAAAUAUUUCAGGAGCUACUGGCAAAUCUUUCUUCUUCCUGAAAGAAAAGCAAAAGCAAGCUGGAAAUCAAAACAAGUCCGCAAUCCAAAAAGCUACAGUCAGGUCCAAAAUCCAUUGAAGUUUCUGAAUGACUCACAUUGACUCCAACGGGCUUUGAAAGAGGGAAUCAUCCAAGCUUUAACUGAAGGUACUGAGAGAUGGACUGGUUCCUUGAUAGCUUUUGGGGAUGUUGACCUGAUCCAGGGGAUAUCCUGCUUGAUUAGCCACUAUGCUAAGGUUUAGUGCCAUUGCUGAUACAAGUACACAAGAUCAAAGAGCUCCUGUGAACACAAAGAAGACCAAGAAAUACUGGAAAAAAAGUAAAAAAGGAGCAUAAAUUUAACUGGAGUUCAUACUACAAGAGAAUCACGUUCAACUGGAAGAGAGAUGGUGGAAGUCAGAAGAGAAUUAGUUUCACCAUUUUCCAUGAAAACAAGCUGAAAGUUUGAUGUCUGAAUUUCUGUUGCAGAAGGAAUUCUUUCUGGUAGGUACUUGUAUAAUUUUUUCCUCUUUGAAACAUGAGAGUCUAUAAAAAACAGCUUUAAAAAAAAUUACCUUAGUGCAUCCAAUAGUUUUUGUUUUGUUUUGUUUUCAUAUUCUGCUGUUAUUCCAACAAAGAUUAACUAGCUCAUUAUCCCACAUACGAUUGCUUUGAAGACUUUUGCACUGUAGCAUCUGUGGAAUAAGUAGAUGUUGCCAUGGAAGGCUGUGAAUGGAGAAGUUUGUCAGUACAUGAAAGCUAUGCAUGCAUAUUCUUCAGGAAUCAGUUUAUCAGCAGGAGUAAAAUAAGGACUCAAAUGGAAAGAAAGGGGAAGCAAAGAGAAUUUAUUUUAAUUUGUUAGAUAUUCAAAAACCAUUGGACUAAAAUUAUUCACCUCACUUUGGCCUGAAAUCUCUCAGUGGAAUUACUCAUGCGGAAGCAAAACAUUUACCAUUGGACUGUCUAGUAAAAUGAUGUAGCUAUCGAGAAAGAACCUUCAGUAGCCUCAUCGUAGUUAUGCAACCUUGUUCCCUAUCAGAGCAUUUGCUUUCAGAUUUUUUACAGUUGGUUCAACCAUACGCAUUCAUUAACCCUCUCUCAUUUGUGCAACAUUUUAGAUGCUGAGUUAUGUUUUUCAGAUCUUCAACACUGAAUGGGAUUUCAGAAUUUUCUUCCCCGAUCAAGUUCUUCUUGUCAGGUUUCUGGUUAGUAUGGCUUGUUCUCAGGUAGCGUCAGCCUUUCUCUGAGAUUUGUGUUACUGUCUCAGUUGGGUUAUGGCAAGUCAAGAAAAGAAUGCAAACAAAGUGCACCUUGACUUGAUCCCUCUUCAUCUUUUAUAAAGGGAGGCAAUGAGGUUUUUGUGAGGGCUAUUCAUCAUUCCUCUGGUGGCCCAACCACUUCACUUAGUUUAUGAAUUGCUGCCAACAAAACUAUAUCAGUGCAACCUGCAGUGUUGCUCUUGCGUUGACAGUGACACACCAUUCACAGUGGCAACAGCAAUAUACAUUGCAAGGCAUGCAUUGACUUGACAAACCUGAUGAUGCUAAGACAUUACCAGUUGGUGAAGAUUUUAAAU